RNAcentral lists this ribosomal RNA (495 nucleotides) under uncultured bacterium. RNAcentral's name for it is "partial 16S ribosomal RNA". It matches the Rfam family "Bacterial small subunit ribosomal RNA", at positions 28 to 507 of the family's 1533-position model. The record is from RNAcentral.
GACGAACGCUGGCGGCGUGCCUAAUACAUGCAAGUAGAACGCUGAAGGAGGAGCUUGCUUCUCUGGAUGAGUUGCGAACGGGUGAGUAACGCGUAGGUAACCUGCCUGGUAGCGGGGGAUAACUAUUGGAAACGAUAGCUAAUACCGCAUAAUAGCAGUUAUUGCAUGAUAACUGUUUGAAAGGUGCAAUUGCCCCACUACCAGAUGGACCUGCGUUGUAUUAGCUAGUUGGUGGGGUAACGGCUCACCAAGGCGACGAUACAUAGCCGACCUGAGAGGGUGAUCGGCCACACUGGGACUGAGACACGGCCCAGACUCCUACGGGAGGCAGCAGUAGGGAAUCUUCGGCAAUGGACGGAAGUCUGAACGAGCAACGCCGCGGGAGUGAAGAAGGUUUUCGGAUCGUAAAGCUCUGUUGUAAGAGAAGAACGAGUGUGAGAGUGGAAAGUUCACACUGUGACGGUAGCUUACCAGAAAGGGACGGCUAACUACGUG